AGGCGGGGAUCGCGGCCAGCUAGGGCCAAUAGCGGGUCAGGCUGGUGCCCGAGAGGGCGGGACAGGGCCGGGUUGAGGAUCGUGGGGUCCUAGCGCCUGAUACUGAGACUGGCGUAGGAGGUGGGCGGAGCGGAACUGCGUUCUCUCGUGACGCGCGGUAGAGUUGGGGAAAUGAUCUGUGGUUCCCCUUCGGGUUGGGAGAUCCCGAGCCUGAGGCGAGCGUGGGCGGCACACACCUUCCCUUCCACUUUCAUCACCCCAGGGGUCAGGGAUCCGUCAAGGGCCAACGGAUGUUUCCUCCUUCCUCUGUAGCAGUCCCAGAGUCCUGACAUUGCCUAGCCAGAGUUUCUCGCGUCUGCCAGAGCAGCCGCUCCUCUAUCCAGGGCACUCAGAUUCCCAAGGAAACCCCCCUGAGGAGUUAGCAACCACCUACUAGUAGGUUUCGGUCCCAGGAUACUAAAGGUCAGGUAAAAAUGGGGAAAUGGGGGGAGGGUGUCUCUGAAAAGUACGUUGAUAAAACACCUAUUGUUGACUGAGUGUAUAUUACAUUGGAUUAAUGGAAUACGGCCUACUUAAACCUGGCUAUGGUUCCACCAUUAGUGGCUGUUGGCAAGCUGCCUCUGAAAAAUGAGGAUAAUAAAGGUUGAUUACUGCUCAGGGUUGCUCUGAGGUUUAAAUGCUAUAAUGCAUGUGAAAUGCUUAGUAUGGUACCUGAAAGUACUCAGUGUUAGAUAUUAUUACAUGGACAAAUGAAGUAAAAAAUAUGACCCGAAAAGACUUCAGGUCAACUUUCCUGAAUUGUGCAGAAAUAGGCAUCAAUCGCUUUUACUAACCAGGUUUACAGCUCUAUAUCCUGUCUCCACUUCUUCCAUUGUACUCAAUCAACAGAUUCACUGAAACUCGAACUGAGGGGACACAGUGGUGAGGGAAACAAACUGUCUGGCUUCUUGGGGCUGACAGUCUAGUGGGAAAAAGAGGGACAAAUAUUUCAUCACAUUUUCAGGGAAGCAUGCUAUAAAGGUUAUGAACAAAAUUUUGGAAAAGCAGAUACCAGGAUAGCUUUGAAAAAACUGGUCAGGAAAGGCCCAUCCGAGGGAUAAGGAGCCAAUAAUGAAAGAAAUGCCCUGGGGAAUUAUUUAAGAUAGAGGAAAUGGCUGUGCAAAGGACCUGUGGUAGGAAAGAACUUGGCUGUUGGAAUUGAGGGGAGUCCAUGGUGCAAGGAGGAGCCUGUCCUGAGAUUGGAGAGAUCUGGCAAAAAUACAGCAGAUUUGCAGAAACAGGCUGUUCACUUCCCACCCUGGUGCUGUCACUGCAGAUUGCUUCAGAGCUGCUGUCUCCUGGGCUUGGACAACGUGUCAGCAUCCGUCUUUGUCAUCACAAUCCCGGUGUUGCCCUGGGUGCUGGGUGCCUUGCAGAGCCAGCAGGCCAGCCCCAGGCAUGCCCUCUGGGUAUUUUGGCAGAAGACUGAAGGGGAACUAGAGAGACUGUUCAGAAUUAGACAAUAAAGAUAAAAGAGGGGCAGAAUCAGGCAAAGUGUUUUCAUUGGAAUCUUCCACUUUUAUGCUGAGAAGCAGGCAAGGCAAAAACUCUGGAUUCAGUUUGCAGGCAUAGGAGCACAUCUAUAGAUUUUUCCAGUGAUGGCUCUGAAUAAUAAGGGUCGUGUGGUUGGAUGUGUCCAUUGUGAGGAUUAUUCCGGCAGCCACCUUCAUGUUGAUUGGAGGGUAAGGCUAAGUUGUAACCUAACAAUGGGGAAGGAGGGCUUAGACUGGACCAGUGGCUGAGAAUGGAAAUGGACAUACCUCAGAGAUAUUGUAAAGGAAAUAUGCUGGUGGCUAGGGAUUAGUGUGUAUGAGAGCAAUAAUUUUUUUUUUUUUUUUUUUUUUUUGGCUGUACUCACAACGUGUGAAUGUUCCCAGGCCAGGGAUCAAACCCAUGCCACGGCAGUGACCUGAGCAAUGGCAGUGACAAGGCCAGAUUCUUAACCUGCUAGGCCACCAGGGAACUCCCAGUGAUUUUUUCUUUUUUUUGACAUCUGUGUAUUCCAAACUUGCAUUCAAGAAUUUGUCUGCUUUUGUACUUUAUCUCUUGCUAUAUAUUUUUAAAAAACCAGACUGCAUGUUUAUAUCUUAUUUUUUUAAUUUUAUUAUCUUUAUUUAUUUAUUUUUGGCUACAUCCAUGGCAUGCAGAAGUUCUUGGGCCAUGGAUUGAAUCCAAGUUGCAGCUGUGAUUUACACCAUAGUUGCAGCAAUGCUAGAUCCUUGGCCAAUUGGACCACACAGGAAGUUCUUACAUUUUGUUAUUUAUUUAUUUAAAAAAAUAUUUUUUUGGCCAUUCCUUGGCAUGCAGA
Non-coding RNA from Sus scrofa (pig), 2347 nucleotides. The record is from RefSeq and is a predicted model, not a curated record. Lineage: Eukaryota; Metazoa; Chordata; Mammalia; Artiodactyla; Suidae.